This 392-nucleotide ribosomal RNA is filed under the name uncultured cyanobacterium. RNAcentral's name for it is "bacterial SSU rRNA". It matches the Rfam family "Bacterial small subunit ribosomal RNA", at positions 468 to 861 of the family's 1533-position model. The record is from RNAcentral. Lineage: Bacteria; Bacillati; Cyanobacteriota.
UUUGACGGUACCUGAAGAAUAAGUAUCGGCUAACUUCGUGCCAGCAGCCGCGGUAAUACGAGGGAUGCAAGCGUUAUCCGGAAUUAUUGGGCGUAAAGCGUCUGUAGGCGGAUAAAAAAGUAUUUUCUUAAAACUUUGAGCUUAACUCAAAAAAAAGAAAAUAUACUAUUUAUCUAGAGUUUAAUUAGGGUAAAGGGAAUUUUUAAUGGAGCGGUGAAAUGCGUUGAUAUUGAAAGGAAGGCCAAUAGCGAAAGCACUUUACUGGAUUAAUACUGACGUUAAGAGACGAAAGCUAGGGGAGCAAACAGGAUUAGAUACCCUGGUAGUCCUAGCUGUAAACGAUGGAUAUUAGGCAUUAUAGUUGGUAAUUAUAGUGUCGUAGCUAACGCGUU